Non-coding RNA from Taeniopygia guttata (zebra finch), 21552 nucleotides. The record is from RefSeq and is a predicted model, not a curated record. Lineage: Eukaryota; Metazoa; Chordata; Aves; Passeriformes; Estrildidae.
CUGCUGUCGGAGGCUAGGAGGACAGUGUGGCCAGUGCACCUAUUGUGUCACUGCUGUAGAAAGCAGCUUAGCGAUUGGCCACUGUCUGCAGCACAUAAUACUGACUGGUUAUAAAGGACUUGUCUAGAGGAAAGCCUGUAGGUACUCCAUUGUCUGGCAAAGUUGAUAUGACUGCAUUCUUUUUGCAGGGGGUCAGACAGCUGAACUGUAAAAGCUGCACAGAUUUUUUUUUUUUUUUUUUUGUCUUCUUCCUCUGUCUCUCUGUCUCUGUCUCUUCCAUACAGCAUUUUUCUUUCAUGCCCUGUCUCAGUUUGCAUAGUUAAAGAGAAUGCUAAUUAAGAUCCCUUGCCUUAACCUGAAAAUAGUGACUUGGAUGUAAAUAGAAAACUGACGAUAGUUUAAAAUAUUCUUGCGUAGCACCAAGAUAUCAGUUACCAUCCUAGGGGAAAAAAGGAAGAAUUAUUUUUUUUGUAAUCAAGGUAAACAAAGAAGAGUUGUUGCUUCUCUUUAUUCCUUUCUUUCGUUCUUUCCUUUUUUUUUCCUUUUUUCUUUUAUUUUUUUUAAACCAAUGAUGCUAUACUAUUGCAAGUCAGAUAAUAUUUUAUUUCAGAAAGCGUGCUAGCUACAUAAUUUAAAAGUCCACAAAUCAGUUGCAAUUUAGUGCUUAUUAAUCCUUCUUAGGAUGUAAUUCGGUGAAAGAACUGCUUUAAAAAAAAUUCUUUUCUGUAUUAUAGACGGAUCUAACAACGCAGUCUGGGCUCCGUGCCAAAGGCUGGUAUUUCACAGCAGCGACCGCCUUACAGAUGAGCUGUGGGAAGCAGGAGGGAGACUCUCUUAGGGUGCCACUACUAUGGAGACACAGCUGGGCUGAACAAGAUUUGCUUCAAACGACAACAAGAGAGACAGAAAGAGUCUGGUUCGACCGCUGCCCAAGCAGGCAGUAACCAGAAGAGCUAGCAGCCAAUCCGGCCAUGCUGCACUGUUCGAAACCAGCUCUACAUCCCAGCCAAUCAGUGACAUCACUGGACUGGAAAGAAACAAUUUCAAUAGAUGUCAGCUUCUGUGGUCUGUGAUGCUCCACUCUGAGUGAUGCCACGUUCAGCACUGAGUAGGAGCGGCAGAGGAGAGAGGCUUCUCAGGAUGAGGUGUACAGCUGCCAUUCCAGGUGUACAGCUGCCAUUCCAUCUCACUGCAGGACUGUGUUUGCUGCUCCACAAGCUGCAGGUUUCUUUUACAAUGUGUUCUGCUCCAGCUAGUGAAUUUUGUUUAACUGACCAGUGAAAGAAAAAUUAAAAUGAAAAAGGAAAAUGAAGAAGUUCAUGAUACCAGAUUUCAGCGAAGUCUGAAGAUUUCAACUAUGCUCUGCCCUGCAUUGAGAGUGAGAAGAAAAUGAAUCGUUAGACACCCCUGCCUGGCGUAUUUGGUGCUCCAGCAAAAGUCGUGAAUACGCAGUCCUGCCUCUGCAUUCCUGCUUGAACUGGGAUGACUCCAGUGGCUCUGCUCUGCCCAUCAUACUCACUGCUGCCCCUUGCCAUAGUGAUGGGAAAGUUGGUGCACUGCCUGCCUCUUUUCCUGCUCCCUCUUCUUCCCCAGUCUCAGAACAGCCAGCCCAGCCUCAGGUACACAGGUAGGGCAGAGGUGGAUGGAGGGGAGGGCAGAAUUUCACUCAGGCAGAAUUUCCACCAAGAUCAACAACGUGUUUCUGUGUCCUGGAACUAUGUGACAACACCUACAGAGACCAUGCAGGAAGCAGUCCCAUUUACCCAAUGACAGUAUAUGAAAGCUGUCUCUAUUAGCACAAAUAAAUAGAAAGCAUAAUCUUCAGUAUGCUAUGCUUAGAUAUAUGUGCAGAAUUUUGAUACAUUUCUAUAUAUAGGAAUCAUAUAUUUCUAUACAACUUGAUGUUGUUUCAGUGCAAAAAGCAUUUAAAUGCUCUUUAAUAAGUGAUUUCAGAGUAAUCAGCUUGUGCUACAACAAAAACAAAAAACAAAAACACAAGCUCUUGCAAAGGGGGAGGAAGAGAGAGAGAGAGAGAGUGAAAAAGAUGUGUGGUGCAUACAAAAAAGGACUGAUAUUAACAAUUCGAUGGGUUCCUAGUUGGUAGAGCAGACUGAGCCAGACGCAUACAUUAGCGGCUGUCUGCUGCUGAUGGGAGCCUGCUCAAUGCGGUGGAAAUGAAGGAUCACCUAGGCGCUGACACCAGCUUAUUUGUACGUUUUAAUUUUAAAAAGGAAAAUCACUGUUUCACAUAAACAUCUUAACCCCUACAUGAUUUUUUUUUCUUUUUUCCUCCCUCAUAUUGUUCGCUAAUUUACUGUCAAUUUAAAGUGCUGUUUAGCUAUAGCCCAACAAAACAUCAGUCAAAAAAUAGAGGGAAGUAUUAGCUUCUCUUUUGUCUGCCAUGUACAAUUGAGUUAUUAUUAUGAUAAUUGUCUACUUUAAUUUUUAGUCUUCAUUGGAGAUGCAACAAUUUUCUGGAGCUUCAUUUUUGAGGCAUUUUAAGUUUCAGAAAUAUACCAUUUAAUCUUUCAGCCAAACAAUGCAAAAAAAAAAACCUCAUAGCUCAAGCUGGCGUGAUUUGAUAAAUUCUUUUCAUUAACCUGAAAGCCUUUAGCACCUUUGUAUAGUAUUACAUAUAUGGGACAAGAUUUCUUUUCCAACCAUAUAAACUCUAAGAUCCAUUAAUACAGUGUUGAAGACUGCUACACGAGUCAAGGGAAUUCCAAUCCAAGUUAAUUACUGUUGGAAUUAGAGGGAAGAAUAUUUUACUUGAAGUUGUAUAACAAGAAUCUACACUUAUCACAUUUCAGGGCAUUGCUCUAUUCACUUGAUGAAAAAUGUCAAUGAGGUUUAACAGAAGAUGUUCUGCAUUUCCGUGGGUAACGAAAAUCAGCACAUCCACGAUAAGCUAACACAACAUUUUCAGUGUGUUAAUAUGCAGUGCAGCAGAAAUUUCUGUAGGCAGUAAAUGUAGCCGUCAUUUUGAUUCACCCGUGUGAUGAUUAUGCUCAAUUCCUGACUAGGUACAUAAUUUCACACUGAAAAGCAGUCAUCUCCUCUAAGGGACCAACUGUAGCCUACAAAAAAAAAAAAAAAAAAACCCAUAAAAAAAAAAAAGAAAGAAUGACUGCCAUCUCAGUCUAAAGUCUAUAACUAGCUAGAUAGUCACACAAUAGAAAAAAUAGAUCUGUAAUACUAUAAAAAUGCCAGCUGAAACUGUAUCACUCAAUUAAAAGUUGAUUUGUUUUACUACAUUAAUUUAAAGUGGUUUUGUCCAAACAAUGUAUCUGAGGCAUUCAUCACCUUGUUAAGUUUUUUCAUUGUUUGACAAUUACAAUAGGCAUCUUCCAAGUUUGUUGGAUGCUGUGUUGCUGCACUGCUUGGCAACACUAGGAUGAUUCUUAUGAGGAGUUAUAUUCUGACCAGAAUCCAGCUCAAUUGAUUGAUGAGCUUCACUUGCAGUGCCUGGGUAGCAACAAGUGGAUGGAAGCCUUAGAGAGCAAUUGAACAUCAGAUUAAUAAAAUCAACACUGAUAAAAUUAUGUCAUCCUUAAAAACAUCUUUAACCUAUUAAGUAGGAUUUAAAAUUAAUCGCAGAAACUUCCAGUUGACUGUAGACUAAAGUUUAUUUGGUAGGCUUUCAGAAUUUCAAUCUUUAUGCCUGUUCCUACUUAUUUAGGAGUUAAGGAUUAGGUGUAAUUGUGGGAUAAACUAGAUUUGGUAAUGAUAGUUUGAGCAAUAUGAGUAUUCUAUAGGAAACAAAGCUGACAAUAUUCUGUACUUUUCUUUUACUUGUUAGCUGUUGCACUGGGGCCGUGAUUCUCUACAAAGAAGCAUGUUCAUUUAUUUAAAUGGCCAAGCAAAUCAACAAGGUUGUGCUGAGUAGUUUAGGGCUGGUAAUUUUGGUUUUGGUUUUGGGUGGUUUUCUUCCACCACCACCACCCCCAACUUCUUUUCUUGGAUGUGUACGUGUCAUGCAUGGGAAGGUAUGAAGGAAAAACAGCUAUUCAGCAGAGACACGUCCCACCCCUUUAAUUAAGCUUUUCCUGGACUAUGUAAAAACACUGGCAAUGUGUAAAUCCCAUUUGUGUUUUUGUUAUUAUUAUUUUAAGAGAUUCCUAAAUAUUAUAUUAAGAUACCUCAGUGAUGAAAUACACAUGAAAAUAGCUGCAUUAGUAAGUCACUUGAUAUCAAAAGGGUUGGAUGGCAUCGGCACAGAGCCAACUGGAAGAUUUUAUUUUUCAUUUAAUUCCUUUCACCUAGUAGUCUCCCUUAGCAUUAGGCAGAAUCCAGUAUGUGGCUAAGUUAUUACUCUAGUGUUCAUCACACAAAAAGCACAGUCUUAGCAUUUGUAAAUUUUCUUCAGGGAGGUUUCUAAUCUAGACAGCAUUUGCUUUUGGGGAUUACACCACAGUCUGUUCCCCACCACCUCCCCCUCUAACAUGCAGCCCUUUCAACUUCUUCAAAGAAGUGCGGAAAAGUAGGUUCUUUUAUUAAUAGCAGAAAACAAACCGACUGCUGGACUUCCGUGGCAGAGCUCACAUAAUGCGGCAGGGUGGGAACUGUAACAAAGAAUGCUUGAAUGCACUAAACGUAUAGUGAAGCCCCAUUUACAUUCACUGAUGGGGCUUAAAGUACAAUAAAUGAGAAGUUUAAAGUAGAAAUAAGCAGGGGUAUGAAAAGACUUCAGUGAAGGUAGAUAUUUCUUGAAAAGUUUAGCACAGGAUUUAAUUUCAAACUCAAGCCUUUCCUAGUAGAAUGCAUUUCUUCAUAGUGCAUCCCUUUGCUUGAAGCAUUUCCAUCCGAUGACAAUAAAUUAGAUGGAGUGCCUCCAAUGCAUAAAGAAGUAGAUUCUGUUUAUCCAGUUUAUAUCUGCUCUGCAAACUCCCUUUGAAGUGUAUGGGGAAAAUUUUGUGUCUUGAAAAAUCUGAUUGUGGGAUCCUCUCACUCUAGUACUAAAAUGUUUCUGUCCACAUGGGUGUAGGUACACCAGAGAAUUGGACAAGGUAGUUGAUUUUCUUCUGCCAAAGUUAUUCUGUGAAAUAGAAUCUUACGAGUGAGUAAGUAUUAAUAAAAAUAACCUCUCUGCUUCUUCUCUUCAUCUCUUUGUUUCAGCCCCUUCCGUAGCCCUACUGUAAGGCUCUACAAGAAGCAGGCUUUGUUCUCCUAGGAGUUUAAAUCAGCCUUUCUCCCACUGUUUGCAUUUCUCUCCACAGUGGUUCUUCAUCCUGAACAUGAAGGACGUAUAAAUUGCCUCUACUUGUACAUUUUUGCAGACUCUGCAUUUCCUCCCUUGGCCCCAUUCAAAAACAACCAGCAGUCAGACAUAAGAUAUUAGGCUGUUGGUUGCAGUUUUCAAAAAAAAGAUCUUUUUUAUCCUUUUCUUUUGAAGAAUGGCAUGAUAGUCCUGAUCUCUGCACAAUCAGAAUGGAGGUUCAUUUAUGGAACAUCAGAAUAAACAACUGUGAUUUGGGAAAAGCAGGCUAUGGGAUAAUUUUCUGCUCCUCUGUUCAGCAGAGGUAGCUUCUGCCUAAUCCAGGCACUGCACCUGUCCCUUCCUAUGGCAUGGUGUCCCAGCAGCACAGGAAUCAGCAUUCAGCAAACCCGGCACAUGAGAUGGCCGGUACAGCCAUUUUGUGGUGGGAUUUAUAGCUUUCCACUGCAAGCACAGGGUUCAUCCCUCUGUUGGGAAGAUUUGUCACAAGUCUGAGGAUACACAGUGCUUAUAGUUCUUGCUGAUGUUAUUUAUAUACACACACUGGGGUAUUCAGGGAGCUAGAUUUAUUGUGACAUUUUAAAUAAACAUAGUAGACCGUGCUUUUCUGUUGUUUAUUAUGUUGGCAUAUUAUUUUGGAUCUUAAUUCUCAAACUUAUGUCUCCUUUUGAAAUAGAGGAGUAUGGUCAAAAUAUUGAUGUUUUAAGACCCAUUGAGGCACCUGAUUUUUAAACAAUGACUGGAUGUUUAGAAGUGAAGCAGGUUAGCAGUGCAGCAUUGGAAACCUCUCCUGGCUGACUCAGAGGGUUAGAUUUCUUGUGGGUGUUGCCAGUAUCUGAGUGUUGAGUUUUGGUAGGCUUUUAUGAGUUAAUAAAUUCCAAGGACUGCAGCUUGGCUUUCUGAAAUUUGGUAAUCAUUCCCUAAAUGCUAGUGGGAAAUCAAAAUUACUACAUGCAAUAACUAACACUUUAAAGCCCUUUGAAAUGUUUCCAAACUGCUGCCUACGUGCUCCUUUUUGCUGCAUCGAUGGCUAAAGAUUUAGGGUCACUUCCUGGCACCCAUCAUGAAUGCAGACAAGUUCCCUUGAGCCUUUACUUUCCUUCCCUGCCAUUUUCCCAUGCUGUCAGGGUAGGCUGUGGCUUUUUCACGUGGGGAACACCACUCACUAAUGGGAGCACAGUGACUGUCACAGGGAGACCUUGAGUAUUAUUAGAGCUCUGAGACCUCAGUAUAAAGCAAAUAUUAGCAAAGCAGGAGGUCAUGAUUUAGUGUGGCAGUGUGAGGCAAUAUUUUAUAAAUUUCUUUUACCACCUUGUUUCUGCUGUUUGUCCUUCAGUUGUUGACAGUAACUUAUUGCAGUGUUUGAAAAGAGAGGGUUGCAUCUGAACUAGCUGUGGGAUCUCAGAUCCCAAUAUUCAACUUGUCUCCAUUGAAACUCUUCAGACUAGUUUUGAUAUGCACAUUUACUUCUUUCAGAUUGAUAUUUUUAAUGGUCCAAAUGAUCUUCUGCAAAAGCAAAUAAGAAAAAAAUGGAAAGGAGGAGCUCCACAGAGAGUCCCUGGCUCAUCAUUAUUGUAUAAAUCAGUCUAAUGUAUGUGUCUCAAUUCUGUGUGAUUUUACCAUGGUGAAAAAAAUCCUUCAGCUUGGAUUACAAAAUGACAGCAGAACUUAAUACCUGCAGUAGUCUUCUGAGAGGACUUAAAUGUUCUUCUGUUUGUGGUAAAACCUGUGGAUGAAUGCCACCCAUGAAUGCCAUGGAUGCCUUCCUAUAUGCUGUCUGCUUCCAGAUACCAUGUGCCAUUCACUAGACCAGGAAACUUGGUACUACUUGCACCUAACAUGGGCUAGGCUAGAAAUACAUCCAGGCAUCUCCUUCUUUCUUUCCCUCCUUUUCCCUCCCCUUGCUCUCCUCCCCUCCCUCCUCCCACACACACAGAAAUAUCCUGUCCUCUGCCAAGGCAAACUCAAUCAUCCAGUCUGACUUCCUCCAUAAAACAUGCCAAAGCAUUCACCAAGCAACUCCCACGUCAACACCAACAAUUUCUGUUUGGUUAGCAUGUAUAUUUAGGAUUUGGGAUGGCAGAGAAUCCAUAAUAACGUCCUGGAACAGUCUCCCAGUAGUCUAUUACAUCAAUAUUAAAAACAUAGGCUUUAUUUCUAAUUAGAACUUGGUUAGCAUUAGUUUCCAGCUAUCUUUUUUAAUUUUCCUGACAAUAUAAAUGGUCAUUUGCUUCCUUCCCCCUCUUAGGAUUUUCAGUGAAAAACUAAUAGGAUUAUCUUCAUUGUCUUACUCUAAGAUUUUUGGGAAGAUCAGAUCAUUUUGCUUGUUCUUGUUUGAGUCUUUCCCAUUUUGUCAAUAUCUUCUGCAAAUACUAAUAGCAGAAUGAGAGAGCUGAUGUCAGGAAUAUUAGCUUGCUAGUAUUCUUCUUUUGUUUGACUUACUCAUUUAUCUUGUUUAUUCUCUUCUUUGCUUCACUAUACUGAGAUCACAAGCAUAGCUAAAGGAAUAAAGAGAGAAAAUGAUUUGGAAAAGUCUUUUUUUAGGUAUUUAAAAGCUCCCAAUUCCAGUUAAAAUUAGUAGGAGUUUAUCACCUAAACUGUUAAGUACUUCUGUUGCCAUUAUUUAGGAAAAACCUUAUGUCAAUGGGAGAAAUAACAGAAUUAACUUAUCGGUGUUUGAGUAAUUAUUAACCAGGUAGGUUUUGACCUCCAUUAAUCUAUUUAUUGAAUAAAUUGUGUUUAAUUUCAGAAGGAAAUGACAGCAGCUGUAUUAUUCUUAUUAUUUGAAAGCUUGCUUAGUUUCAGCAUAUUCUGUGCUUCUUGUAUGCUCGAGUUACAGAAAUAGAUCCUACAGAUGGAUUAAAACAUACCCAUGUGUUGAAGCCAGGCAAUCAGUCUCACAUUUACAGGUAUCCAUCCAAACAGCUGGGAUAUAGCUAGCUAAAGGAUUAUUUUUAAUAUGUUUCUCCAAAAUUCUGUAACCUAGUCCCUUCACAAGGCUUAUUUGUCUGAUCUCAGUAAAUCUGCAAGCCUAUACAUUUUAUCAUUUUCCUAUCAUGUGUUUGGGGAGGAGGGAUGGGGGGAAGACUGAUCUUAGAUAAGCAAUGCAAGUUGGUUAAGAAAGGAGGAAGCUGUCAUCUGUAGCCUUUCCAGACACAGCAGUACAGUUCCAGACAGUCACCUGAGUAUUAUUGCUCUGCCUCAACUAUAAAUCACAGUCUGGUAAUGGCCAGAGCUGACACCCUGACAUUUUCAAGAAGAGUAAAAGACCUGAUUUGAAUGGAAAUCAAUUUCAUUUCACAAAUCUUGGGAUACUCCAAAUAUGGUCUUGUUCUUUUUUUGUGUGUGUGUCUUAUUCAGAAUUUCCAUUAUUUUGUUGGAGGAUUAGUUGCUCUAUACAAUGACUCUGGUUUCCCACAUAAAGUUUAAAAUUACAGAAAUACAUGUGUGUGCAGUGCAUCACAGGACCUGGUACCACUGCGAAAGUAACCACCUUUUCUGACAGCCUGCUGAGGGUGAUGGGCACAGCUCUUUUUUCCCACCUCCAAAUAGAGUAGCUGUCCUGCACUGGAAGGAUGAAAAGGCAAGCUCAGAGCAUGCGAUGUCACAGGUCUGCUCUCUUCACGUGAAUUCCCAUGGGGUGCUCCAAAGUGACAGUAUUGGCAGUAUUGGCAAAACAGGACUUCCCAUUGUGCAAUAAAUUUUCUUGCUUGUAACAGCCUUUCUGUAGCAAAAAUGGCCCAGAAAUUCUAAAAAUUUCAGCUGCAUUGUUUAUUAUUUGAAGAGAUAAAAUUUUUAUUAUUUGAAGAGACAAAAGUAAACCCCAAGCAAAUUGAAUAAAGUGGCUUUUUCUACUUUGAUUUUAUUUUUUUUUCUUUUGCCUGGGUGGUAAGAAUGCACUGUAAAGACAAUUUAGACAAGGGAGGGGAAUGAGCUUAGUGACUGUAGUACCCAUGGAACUGCUGCACUAACAAAUGUAAGUAAAUAUGAUCCCAAGCGUCCUUCACUCUGACUGCUCUGAUACAUAGCACAAAACCCCUUUUGGAGCAAAGCCACUGACCAAGGUGAAGGUUUUGAGGUGGCAUCAGACCUCCAGUGACUGAAGGUCCAAAACUGAGCCUGAAAUGUUCUUUCCAAUAGUUUCACAAGGACCUAUCAUGAUCUGCAAAAUUUCAGUAUUCUUACAUGGCAAAACAAAAUCAUCUAGAGGACACUGGUUAAAAAAAGGAAGGUGGUGUAAGGUAAUGCAUGUGUGAGAAUCUAAGCCAGUGAGUAAGCUGUGCCUAAAUUUGCCAACAGAUGCAUUCCUGUGUGAAACUGAGAAAGGAAAAGCAUCCUUAGCAUACAGAGGAUUAAAAAUAUCUGAUGGCCAUUCCAUGUUUAAGCCCCUUAAACAGGAUAGAGUGAAACACGUUGUGGUAUCUAUAGCAACAGGUGUGAAAUCAAAAGUAAGGAUUUUUCUCUCUUUGUGCGUCUCUUGCCUGCUGCACAGUAUUCCUGGAAAACCUGUAAGAAGCUCAUUAAAACCAUGCAUAUAUAACACAGACCCAGUGCAUCAAAUGACUUCCAAAGGCCUUAGCUAUGUGCUGUGUCUAGACACUGUCCGUGGGCUUUAUCAAAGCACAUCUUGAUAAAACACAUCUGGUGUGGAGAGAAAUGCUAACAAUCUAGCAAAUUGCUAGCAUUUAGCCCAGAAUCCUUUUCCUCUGACAAUAGCCACUAGGACAUGCCCAAGGAAAAGGAUAAGAUCAGGACAAGUAAAGUGAUACUUCUCUGUUGUGGUUUGGGGUUUUUUUGCCUGUCUCCUGUGGAAUUCAAUACAGUGACUAAUAGCUGGUACCAACCUAUUUAAGCACCCUUGGCACAAUUUUUCUUUUUUUUUUGUGCAUGUGUUAAUUACUUCUGCUUUAAUUUUCUGAAUCUUUUUGGUGUGAUAACAAUGAUUACAAAUAUCCUUGAUUACAAAUAUCUCUAUGUUCUGCAGAUUCAAUUGCAUCCAAGGAAGACUAAGAAAAUGUCAGAGCCGUGUGUAAGAGGUUUGCAUGGUUUUCCAAGGUGCAGUGCCCCUGUGUAACCUGCAUCAUUAUGCUCACCUAAUUUGUCACCAAGUGUUUUCUUGUCAGGGAGAAUUUCUAAUGUUUAGUCAUAUGACAGAUUUUACCUGGGGCCAAAGUUUUUUUCUGAUACAUGUAGCCUAUUGGCAAACUUCUCCAGCCACACACUGUUCUGUACAAUGGAGAGAUUUAAAGGAGGAUUAAAUCAGAACUGUGACAUUUGGCGCUGUGAUGUUCUGAUGGCUGUUUUUAUCAGUUUAAAGCAUGUCCUGGAAGACAGAGACAUCUCCCAACCUUGUAGUUUCCAUAAAGGAAUGAUUUUGCCUUGUUAAAGUCAAGGGGAACCUUUGGCUUUGGCUGCUAAGAUGUCACCAUCAAAUUUAAACAUUUUGAAGAUAUUGGCUACCAUCCUUACAAGAAACUUACUCAAAACUACUUCCACUCUCUGAAAGCUCCAUACUAUGAGCUGAAUCCUUCUGUGAUUAACAUAUUCCCAAAUUACAUGGGGGAUAGUGUAAUGAGCCCUGGAAAGCAUUUCCCUUGUCAGAACAUCAUGUCUACCAACUCAUGGGUUUUAAGGACAAGAUGAGAAGUUUAUAUUGAAUACUACUGCGCCAAAGUAGAAUUCUAGCUCUGGAAAAAGAGUCUAAACUGUCUAUAUUCCAAGACUGAAAGGUUCUGUUUAGACUGAACCAAAGAAAUAUAAUAUUUAGCUGCUUUGCUCAGGAUCUAAAAACUGCAACAAAAAUAGAAACAAAUCAAGUGGCCUCACUGUGUAUCAUUUAACAUGAUGCAAACUAUCUUGGCGUAUUUUUUAAUGGAACAUGAGUUUAAAUAUUAACUGCUUAGUUUAAACAGUGAUUUUAGCUUUUAAUAUAACAGCUUUAUUGGAUGAUUUAUGUCAACUAUAUGUGAUUUUUUAAAGUAACUAUAGCAUCACAAUUUGUAAACUGUAUGGUAUUACUAAAGACUCUACCUGAAGUAAUUCACAAUUCUCACUUUUUAAUAUAGUGAUUGAGUUCACAUUUCUAGAACAAAAUUUAGCAUCUAAUAGUAAGUGCUUGUUUUAGGGGGAUUAGAUCAAGUACACUCUGCAGUACAAUGCCAGUAUAUUAAGGCAUAUUACAACCCAGCUGAUGAGACAAAUCAAAAUGGAUUCAUGAGGUUAUUUGGUAUUUCUUUCAGGCCUGACUAAAAUUUAGUGCUUGGGACUUAGGAGAAGCCAUAAGUCAUUAUAAAUAUUUAGAAAAUAUAAAGUUACAGCUGCCACUUGCUUUAGGGUAUCCUACUGGGUCUCCCAAAGAUGUCAAGUCCACUGGAACUGUGUGACAUAUCCACCAGCCUGACAUUGAUGUCUCAGAUGCUUCAAGUCAUCACAAAAGGCAACAGACAUUUAACACAUAUGUCAAGUCCUGUGUUACCUGUCCUGUUCCAUUGUACUCAAGAACUUCACAAACUAUGUAUUUUGUUCAGAAAAUUAAAAUGCUGCCUUGAAAUACUCAGUUGUGACUUUUACUACCAGCUUUGAUUUUCUGAGUUUAUAUUUUAAGGAGGUUGGAUGCAAGCACAGAUUAAUAAAAUAUGUCAGUGGAUACUUUGUGCAGCACAGAUUUAUGAAAGCUGCAGUUUCAUACAGCUUCAUACAAGACAGCAUUUGACCACAGUUACUGCCAUAAUGGUCAGGUCAUGAUUUCUCUUUCUUUAAUUUCUUCUUUAUUUAUUUUUUAACGUUGAUGUUAAAAGGUAGACUUUUUAACCAAUAGCUGUCUGUAAUGCUUCUGCCAUUACAAAAUUGUGCUCUCAUUUUUCAUUAAUUGGUCUCUUUUUGGCCUGUUUUCAACAAAUGUCAGGACACCAACUGAGGCACACGUUUGGAUUUCAGCUGUGUAAACAUAUCGGUACUCUAGCUAACCCCUUUCAUAACGACAACAAGCAGCUUAAAGUGUACAGUCCAGGGAUUUGUUAGUGAUAAAUGUGCUGCCAACAUCCCAGGUUGGGUGGGUACCUCUUUCCUGAAAAAGCUCCAGCCCUGCUAGUGUCCCUGUCAGACUCAGAGUGAGCAGAGGCAGCUCUGCUGCACAGAGGUUCUCUAGACCCACACUGGGACUCCCCUUUGCUCCAUCCCCAGGACAAGCCCGUCUCGCCUCAGCAGAUCCCUGUAAGAGAGAGGGAAAGGGCAGUCCACUCUUUUUGGAAGUGCUAUCUCAGAAUGACUUCAGGCUCAGGUGAAAAACAAAACACAUUUCAGUGGCAAAAUCCAGACUUUUUUCCUUUUACUGUGUGUGAUGACCAGGGUCUUUUUCAUUGCAAUUUUUUAAAUAGAAGUGGAAUUUCUGUUCCCUAUGCUGAAGCAGUUAACAUUUUCUCAUUAAUUUCUCUCUUCUUUUGCUUUAUUUUCAUGCCUCUUACCUUCCUGUGAGAGUGUUCCUUGCAGAAAAGAUUCAGAGGCCUCUUUGAUAAAUUUCUCUCAAAAAUGAGUUAUCAGCUUACAUAGGUUCCUUGAAGGCUGCAAACUGGUGUAUUAAAGCAAAUUUCCAGAAGAUAUUUUCCUAAAAAUCCUUUUUAUAAUUUAAAAAGACUAAGCACUAUUUUCAGACUGAUAGAGGAGCAAGUUGCUAGCAUUUCAGAAACACAGAGAUCAGUGAAAGAAAAGCAUGAGGUCGUUCAUAUUUUCCAUGAUGUAAAUCAGGCCAAAUUAAUGACCGCCAUAAUCAGGUUUAGACCCACAGACCUUAGGAGCCCUCACACAUGCCAAGUGUCAGGCUGGCUGAUUGAAAAUAUUGCUAUGGGCAUCAUUUGAUCUGCAUUACUGCUGACAAAAACUGUGCAGGUGUAGAAAGGUCAUGCUCCACUUCUCUGUAGAUACCAGACACCUCUACUACCUCAACAGAACUACUCAUUGGAGUGGGUACUAAAGGUAAGUAUUUACAAGAUCAGGAUGCCAGUCUCAAACUAUACAGAGACAUGAAAAUCUACAUGAUGUGUUGCCUGUGGAUUUUUGUGGAGUUUAGGUUGGUUUUUUGGGUGUUUUUUGCAUAUUUUAUUUAAAAAGCUAGAAUGCCAAUAACAUGCUGUUGAAUUAACUUUCUUUUUUUUUUUUAGUUACACAUACACAGCAUUGUGAAUUGGUGAGUGAUAUGUAAGGUGUAUCACUUAUAUAUCACUUGUAGAUCUGUUUCUCCAGAAGGUGCCACAUUUAAAUUAGUAAUUUUUAUUCAGACACCAUUAUUGGUAGAGUAAGAGCUUUUUUUCCUGGAAAAGAACUGCCAAAUCUGGUCUUCAGUUGCCCAGUCAGAAGAAAGAAAGCCUGUGCACAGUAAAAAUAUAAGGACAAUAACAUUUCCUGAUCAAAUUUUGGAAAUAAUUUUGCUAUCUGAAAUCUCUGAUUUAACCAUCUGAAAUACUGCCAUUUUUUCAGAAGUCUCUUAUGCAAUUAGUAAUGGCAAGAACAUUUAGAGUCUGAAUAGCAUGCCUAUGUGAGAGCCUGAAACCAUGCAGUUUCCAGCAUCUGGGAGUGAAGUCUCACUGUUCAGCAAGCUGCUCUGAGAAGCACAGAGAGCUCUUCCAGCAAGCUGGAAACACUGAUACAGAAGUGUCAAAUAAAUAGCUUAUUUGCUUUAAUUGUACUUCUAACCAUGGUGUCUCAUUAAUGUCUCUGUCUUUAAUACACAUAAACAGGUAUAAUGUUCUUUCACAGAAUCACUGCUGAUCUUUCCAACAUCAAAUCUACAUCUCUGACCAAAAUGAACAGAGAUAGGUUUUUUGGUCCUCACAACAGUAAACAAUAUGUGCACACACAUAUAUAUGCAUAGAUAUAUGACUUUUUGAAUAUAUAUUUCAAAGCACAAUUCGAUUUUUUGUUUGGUGUGUACUUGUGUCUGAUUUGUUGUAAAUUUUCUCAGCUGUGCUGAGGGGCCUGGCAGAGCAGGGUGCUGAUGGUCUGUGUCCAUGUGCCCGGCCAGCUUGGUGAGCAAUCCAAGGAUUAUGUCUUUUGUUUUGCUACCUGAGGGGAUUCAGCUGGAAACAGCCCCAUUCUCAGCACCAGCUCUGCUUGAGGAUGCUGUGCUCAGCUCCAGUAGGAGCAUGCUGGGAGGACAGGAUUCCUCACCCCCUGGCUCCCAGGAGCAUGGUUCCAUCAGGGACAGCUGACUUAAUGUGUGUCCUUGUGUAAGGGGCCAUGCUCAGGAUGGUUUUGUGUGAGCUGUAAACUCAUGUCACCCUUAACUUCAUGUAGUUCAGACAUGGCAGUCCACAAAGCGAGAUCUUUAGUGCUUUGCUCUACUGAACUUUUCCCUUGUCUGUAAUGGAUUGUGGAUGGAAGAGGGAGGAGGGGAACGUGGCAGGGAAAAGCAAGGGUUUGAUUGGCAUGCAGUGAUUUUGGACUAGCAGGAAGCAGGCGGCUCUGCUCUCCAGCCCCCACAUACUUCUCAGCCCAUGUGUGUUGAGGGGGGAAAGAAACCGAUAUUGUUCCCUCUAAAAUGAAUUCCCAGUUAGCCAGUUAUUCCUGGUUUUUAGCUCAGAGCACACUGUAAUUGCAUUUUUCAUUUCAGUAAUUAUAGAGGAUAUUAAAGUGGAUAGACAGUUGUAGCAAUCUGGCUCUUUAGACAUAUCUACUUGUCCAAGAUCAAAUGGCUACAGCAUAUUCAGGGUUACAGUCUCCUUCUUUUCCUUCUUGUUCUCUACUGCAGUGGAUUUUUUUUUUUUGGCGUUACCAUGACAACACUAUAUCUGGCUGCCAGCUCUGUCGUAAGUUAUUGAACUGAGACUGGCUUUUGGUUUAGCAGAUAAUUAGGUUCUGUCUCACAGGUUCAUUUUCCUGUGACUGGGACAUGAAUAUGACCUACAGCUGGCCUCAAUUUCAGUGUCACAGACAAAACUUUAACCCUUCCUAGUCCCGCCACUACUGUACCCACUGCAGUGGAUGGCGACAAUUCCAAACCCUUUCCCGGGGGUGCUGGACGCAGCACACCCUCCCAGGUCCUCAGGGCUGGUUGCCCAGGCUGUGUUAAUCCCCAGGGAGGAGGAGGAGGACAGUCCAGCUCGCACCCCCUUGCUGGGCGGGUGGGGAAAGGGUAUCGCUAGCACCAGAUGAAUAUUGAUUGUCUGGUAUGGAGAUUUGUCGGAAAGAUGGGAGGCAGCAUCCAGGAAAGUCUAACCCCAGUUAGAUGUGCUCAGGAUCAUAUUUUGCGAUAGAACAGCUAGUAGCUGGAGAAUUCUGACAUGAAAAUCCCAAGCAUCCCAGAUUUAGCAGAGCUCUUUGCUGUGGGGAAAGGAGACCAACAUGCUCACAACUCACUGAUUUGAGCAGGAGCUGAAAAACUAGGGAGAAAAAUCAUCCCACUCUGGCCAUGGUCACAGCAAGAGGACUUCAGCCCAAGGCAGCUGUGCUCUGCAGCUGGCCCUGAAGGGCAGCAGAGAGAAGGCACAGCCACCACACCCUGAGAGAGAAGGGUUUGCCACAGUCCCUGGCACCACUGGGAUGGCACGAGUGAGAUGCCAGCAGACAUCUCUGCAGGGUGCUAAGCUCAGCCCCAGCUGUCAGAAAUGCCUUCCAAGCCCUUUGGUCAAACAACAGGGGGUCUUAGAAGGUGUUAAAAGCACUGGCCAGCCUUCUGACCUAGGGUUGUAGAACAGCAUCACAGAGGAAAAUAUUCUGGUCCUGGUUUUUGGACGUCAGAGAAAAUAGAAAAUGAAGUUGUGGCUCAGGUUUAGUAGUUGGUUAUGCUAUUUGCACAUGCAAAACUCCAGAGGAAAAAAACCUAAGCAAAAUGAAAACAGAGAAUUGUAAAGCAAAGGCCUUUCCAUUCAAAGUUUUCCUCCAGAAUGCCAAACAAAGGUAACAACAUAACAACGUAACAAUUAUACAACCUGAAUAACUUUUCUAUCUUUAUUUCCUGUAAAUUCAAGUUGAUCCUUACACCUCACCUAAAUUCUGAUACAUCUCCUCUUGAUUUAUAUGAGAUUUUUAACCUCAUUUAUAUGAGGUUUUGCAAAACAAAUUUAAUUCCUAAUUGCUACUUGAUGGUGCUAUCUGUUGGUGUUUCUUCUCUUACUUUCUAGAUACCUGUUUGUUCUGGUGUUGCUGCCAAGACACCUUUUUUCCCAUGCCACCAAUCAUUUCAAUCCUUGUUUUAACACUGUAUCAUUUAUUAUUUCUUUCACAGUGCUUUCUUUUCUUUCUUUCAGUUUUAUUACUGUACAAUCUCCAAGAUAUCUAGCAGCUCUUGGGAUAGAUUAAAUAGAUAGAGCAUGGUGGACUGGAUGUCUAAGACUUAAUACUUUUUGUAGCUGCCAAUAGCUUUGAGCAUGUCAGUUUGUCAUUCAAUAUUUUUGUUUUUCUCUUCUCAUUUCUAGUAAUGCAUAUAGAGAUUUCCCCCUUUGGAGCAAAAUGCCAGGAUGCUCACAAGAGUUGUAUAGAUAGAAAAUGGUGCUGAUAGCAGCAAAAGAAGAAAGCUUUCAUCAUCCAAACAACAUGGACCUAAAGAUGUUGGAAACUAAAGGCCAAUUAUUCCCUGAGGUGCAUGGCGGGGCCAAUUCCACUGUAAUCAUUCUUGUGGUUGUGAAGGCAGAAGAGGACCUUGACUGCCUGUAACUGGACUUUGUCAGGCCAUUUGUUUGUGACCAGAGUUGUGUCAUUACUGUGGUUUUUCAAUACAAGGAUGUUCACUGAGGCAUCACAUUGAUAUUUUUGAAGUAUGUUCCACAUUUUCAAAGGAACGAAUUUAUCAGCAUAGAAUUGAAAUGUCUAGCUGCUUCAGUAUGCAAUUGACAUGCAAGGGCAUUCAUUUUUCACCUACUGGAUGUAAGGCAAUGAGACCCCCACUGGAUUGCUGCAUCCAGCCCUGGAGUCCCCGGCACAGGAAGGACAGAGACCUGUUGGACUGAGGCCACUAAGAUGAUGAGAGGGAUGGAGCAGCUCCCCUAGAAACAGCUGAGGGAUUUCAGAUUAUUCAGCUUGGAAAAGAGAAGUCUUCUGAGUGACCUAAUUGCAGCCUUCCAGUACCUGAAAGACAGAAAGAGACUAUUUACAAGGGCAUGGAGUGACAGGACAAGGGGGAAUGACCUCAAACUGACAGAGACUAGGUUUGGAUUAGAUAUUAGGAGGCAUGAUGAGGCCCUGGUACAGGUUGUCCAGAGGAAUUGUGGAUGCUCCAUCCAUGGAAGUCAUCCUGGACAGACUGGAUGGGGCUCUGAGCAACCUGGAGUAGUGGAAGGUGGCCCUGUCCUCAGCUAGGGGUUUGGAAUUUAGAUGAUCUUUGAGUCCCUUCCAACCCAAAUCAUUCUGUGAUUCUACAGUUUUCAACAAGUAAAGACAUGUUAAAGAAAAGAUGAUUAGGCCAAACCUUGUUCCUUUUUCCAAAGUAAUUAUGUGGGAAAUCUUGUCAGGCUUUAAUCUCUGAGUCCUGUACUAAACCAGCCCCUUGCAGGUAUUUUAAGUUUUUUGGUCUUUCUGCAAAAUAAGGCCUUUAGCAAAGACCAUUGGACCUUCCAUUAAGUACGUUCACAAAAUCGGAAGAGGGAUCCUGUUCUGGCUGACACAUGUGACUUUUCAGCCUGAGAGCUGAAAUGGCUUCUGCAGGACCAUCCAGCAACCAAGCUGAUUCCUUGGGCACUGAAUAUCUGGCAUCACUUGCUAAAUAUGCUAAAGAAAGCAAGGCUGAAGGUGUAUAGUUAUGCUGCAACAUCAAUUCCUCCUCUGGGAUGUAUGGAAAAUGGAUGAGUGAGCCCAGUCUGCCUCUUUGCUUUUGGUCCAGUUGGAGUAAUUGGUGCCUUUUUCUGCAGCAUUUCUCAGAAAAAAAAAAAAAAAAAAAAAAAAAGCAAGAAGGUAAAAGGAGGAAAAAUCUCUUCAUGGAGUGUUUUAUGCCUAGGAUCAAGACUUUUUGAAGGAUUUAACUCCUAAAUACAAAUGAAAUAUGCAAUCAACUAUAACAGCUAUCGGAAGAUGGAGGGAAAAAUGGAGAGGAGAGGGAAAGGGAAACACUUCCAGGGGAGGUGAUGCUGUUUGGAAAAAAUGUCUCUUACAGUUUGGCAUCUAGCUGUUAACAUACUCUUGCCAACCUGUGAGUUCAUUUGAGGUUUAUAGCAAGUUACAGGAAGAAUAAAAAGUUAAUCAUGUGCAGAGCCUUGGUGUUGUAUUCUUGCCAUCAAUUUCAAUAGCAGUAAUAACAUACAGACUGUGAAGAGAUUAAAGAAUGGCACAAGCUGCUUUCUACUUCAGCUUGUAAAUUUAUUUCCAUUGGAACUUUAAUUUGUGUGGUUUUCAUCCAAAUUUGAAGAGAUGAUGAUGUGAGGUCUAAAAACACUAUGGGUCUGGGGUCAGAUUCUUCUAUCAGUUUUUACGUGCAAUAGACAUGGGGAGUUUUCUCCCUCUAUCUAAAAACAGAGCAAUAUUUUAUUGAGGUCCAAACCCACAAAAAGAUAUAAAAGGAACAGUGGGGGAACUCAAUUAUGAAGAUGGUUACUUAACAGAAGACUUAACUACAUGUUGUAGCCUGUAUCUUUUUAACAAUCUCAACAGUUCCUAUUACAUAUUUUGGGGAUUUGAAGCUGAGGAAAUCUAUUGAAAUACUGUCUGAGCCUGGAUUAGCACUCCAGACUAAAGAUUAAUUUAAUUUUCUUUUAAGAGUUGUAAUUUUUUUCUUUCUUUUCAGUUUGUAACUAUGCUCUUUACUGUCAUCAGCUGAGAUAAAAGUUCUAAAUGCAUCGAAAAUUAUCAUUGACACUUACAAUGAAGAAAUAAGCUUCUCAAAAACAAAACAUGUACUCGGAAGUCUUUUCAGUGGAUUAAACUUUUUCCUUUCUAUUUCUGAAAUACUUUUGAGUGGCAAUCACUUCUCUGAAAAUCUGCAUUUUUUUGUUGUUUACAGCUGCAAAUUGGACAGAGAUGUUUUGUUCUUUGCUUUCAUACUAUACAAAAGGUGUGGCAAAUUUUACUCAUGGCAUAUAUGUACCAUUAGCUACAUUCAUAUCUUUAUUAGCAUAUUAACAUGCAUUUGAGUUAUCCUGAUAUAUUGUAAACACAGUGGAUCUGAGGUAUCUAACAGCAUAUAAGGAUUUAUUAUUUUAUUUAAAGGAUGCAAAAUGCAGCAAAAACUUGCUGUAGGUGAGUAAUCCUACUUAUCAGAGAUGAAUUUUAACAACGGCAGUUCACAAAUUUCUGCUGUCCUUUGGGGAAAACAAAGAAAUUGAUUGUAGAAAAAAUGUUGUCUUUGCAUUCCUUUACUUCUUGUCAUUUUUUCUUUGUUUGAUGUAUCAGUUUCUUGUAUAAUGCUUUCUCCCCUUGUUUAUCAAAGUUACUAAUUUAUGUUCUAUUGAUGCACAGCAGUUCUUUAAGCUUAGACUUAGUACUUGGCUGUCAGUAAGAAAGAUGAGAAGCAAAAGUGUGAAGGAUUUUUCCAGGGUAAGUCCAGAUUUACAGCCACAUUUCCAAGUGGAGAACUUAGGCAGGUAUAAAAAGUUGGAUUGCAGAAAAGUAGAACAACUAUUACUUUUUCUUGGGAGACAAUAUAAUUAGAUUUACGUGUUUAAUAUAGUUAUUAAGAUUGGUUAAUAUUCAACUACUUUGAUUUGUUCAACUAUUUCACUACAUAAAAUAGUCAGAUUUUGUGAUCUGUUUGGGUUUUGUCUUGCCAGCUGCCCUGCCUCUUUCCCUUCCCUUUGCUCCUCUUGCCUCAUUUGCAGUGUUAUUCUAGAUAUGGGAGUGAAAGUUUCCUAAUUAUCUUAACUUAUCCCAUUUGGAAGAUUUUUCUCAAAAUGCUAGUUAUUUGGCUUUUAACCUUGGGUUAUUUGUAAUGGUUGAACCCCUGCUCCCUUUCUUUUUUUUUCUUUUGUUUUUUUUUUUUUUAAAGAAAGUGUAAAAUUUGUUCAACAGUGCUAAGGUCUAGUCUAACCUAAGUUUACCAAGAUUUCUGGACACAUCUAAUAUUGUUUGUGUGUAUGUACCCUUCUUAUAUGCAUGGAGAUUAAGCUGGCCUUACUACAGUACUGAUCUGCACUAGAAAUAUGUUGUCUGUAGGUACCAGCAUGCUAAGGUUCUAAAAAGAGUUGGUUGAUAAUUUGAAUUUCAACAGGCAAGACAAGGGAGAGAAAACAUUAAAAUUUUGUGAAAUAGCUUAUCUUCUUCAGUGUUGUUACUUAAAAAAUUAAAACUUGAAUCUUGAUGCUUCUUUCCAUUCCCCCAAGAAAAUUUUAUACUUCAAGAAUGGCCUGAAGGCUUAGUAAGAGUUUAGUAAGAAUGUAGGAAGGUCACCAUCUUUCUUGAUGAAGGUUUAUCUCAUAAAUUUCUGCCUCAUUCUUCAAAAUAAGGAGGGAGUUCUCUGUCUAGGUCUGUGAUUUACACAUACAUUGAUUUUACAUUCAUCUAAACUAGAAUGUGGCGCCUGUCAGUUGUUUCCUGGAUGCCAGUGUGGUUAUAUUCCUGACCCAAAGGGAAGGCACGUGGAUUCCUUGUAGUUCCAGCACUGCAGGUAGAAAUAUUAAGGGUAUGAUUUCACUUAUUUGAAGUUACCAAAAAUGCUGGAAGAAGGAGUCAAUGCCAAAUAGAUAGGCUAUUUAAUUUUGUUUAUUUUCUCUCCUAGAAGAUUGGUUACAUCAAUAAGAAAUGCUGAAAACCUGUGUUUGAAAGAAGCAACUGUUAUGGAGUCAGAAAAAAGUAAAGUAGAGAUUGUCUGAGUUCCCUGAAAUCUUGACUGAUAGAUAAAUAUGAGGUGAGCUGCAGUGACAGUGGUGAGAAAGCUGACUUUCAGAAGUAAAACACACUAGACUAUUCUUUCAGUGGUAGAGGAAUGUCUGCAUUUUUCUCAUAAAUUUCUUGGGGGAAAAAAAAAACAUUUUGUGCAUGCUGUACUCAGUUUGAAUUUACACAAUUAAAUGUGCAAAAUUAAAUAAAUUUUAAAAAUAAUAUUUCUAUACUAGUAUGUUGCCAUGACAGUAUUUCUCCUGGUAUAUACUUGAAUGUAAUAGUAAUAAUACUGUACAGUGCUGUAUAUUUAUGUAUUAUACAUAUUCAUUUUUUCUACAUUGACUAUGUCGAAUAAUUUGGCUUUUGUAAUUUAUUUUGCUAAAAGAUACACUGUUUUAUGUCUAUUAAUGGAUGUACAUACAAUUUACUAAAACUAUUUCUUUCUGAUUUUUAACUUCUGCUGAAACCAUAGCAUAAUCAUAGUAUGUAGAGAGUAAUAUCCUUGCACAUCCUGAGGCCUUAGCUGGCAGAGUUGUCAAAUUAAACUGGAACAUUUUGUAAGUGUAUCUUUAAUAAAUACAUAUGUCUGUCAUGCUUCCCUA